Molecule: long non-coding RNA, 886 nt
Organism: Engraulis encrasicolus (European anchovy)
Lineage: Eukaryota; Metazoa; Chordata; Actinopteri; Clupeiformes; Engraulidae
Exons: 3
Source: RefSeq, a predicted model, not a curated record
GACACUCCCCUUUCCCUCAGGUGUGUAGCAUAAAUCAUUGCGGUGGUAGCUAGUUAGCAAAGACGCCGUGUUUUUGAUGCUGUCGAGUGUAGCGUGGGCACACCGCUCUCUCUGUCCCUCUGUUUGUGGUUGAGCCACCGUACAGGAAAGCCCUGUCCAUCGGCGGCUGGCGUGGGGUCGGCUGCUGUUCUGGGAUGGUGUGCUGAGCUGGGCAAACUCAAGUGUCGCUGGUGAUGUUCUUCCACUUUGUGUCCUGUGUGGUUGGCUGCUUGCAUGCCGCUUCGAGAGAACCAGAGGUAAUGCCGGCAUUUUCUGUAAGAGUUUCGACGCUUAGCACUUGACUUGUGUAGGGAGUUGUGUGGGGUGGGAGUGGGGGUGCUCCGCAGGUGUGAUGGCGGGACUGGCAGCGUGGUGCCUUUGAUAUCGCGCUGUGGUGUCGUGGUUGCACCUGUGGGAGCGCCCACAUUUCCACAAUACACAACUCCUGUUGAAUCGAGUUAUAAAUGCCGUGCCUAAUGGUAACUUUCUCGUUAAAUGUACAUAGGAGGAGAUGGUGCCUUCGACUACACUGAUGCAGUGUCACUAGAGAAGGGGGGGCAUCACUGUUCUUUUCCCAACCUUUUGUUUUGUUUUGUCCUAUUGUGUGAGUGAUUCAUCCUGUGCAACCUUUUCACUUUGACGUCCGAGACGAAGGGGCUUGUGUAAGUUUCACUCUAACAUCCGAGACGAAGGGGCUCGUGUAAGUUUCUACUUAGUAACCGCCAAGACGGAGCUUGUGUAGGCCUAUAUGAUUAGGGUAUGAACACUGAAGUAUUACUGGGAGACGUAUCUUAAUUCUUAGACUCCUUUUGGAACCUAUACUUGCUGUAGGGGGAGACCAAAGACG